UUGUGGAGGAGGACGCCGAAGGUGGGGCUAAUGACUGGGGUGAAGUCGUAACAAGGUAGCCGUACCGGAAGGUGCGGCUGGAUCACCUCCUAACAGGGAGACAACAAAAUGUUUAAUAUUAUUAUUUUGUCACCUUAGGUCGAUCGGUAUCUCACGUUCUUAAUUUAUUAAGAAUUUCAUUUCCUAAGUUUUUCUAGGUCACACCCAUUAUUUUUUCCUGGGCCAUUAGCUCAGGUGGUUAGAGCGCACCCCUGAUAAGGGUGAGGUCCCUGGUUCAAGUCCAGGAUGGCCCAUAUCUCUAUGUUGGGGGUAUAGCUCAGUUGGUAGAGCGCCUGCUUUGCAAGCAGGAUGUCAGCGGUUCGAGUCCGCUUACCUCCACUGAUUACCACCUCUUCCAUAAAAUGUAGAAAGGAAAAUUUUUUGAGUUGUGAUCAUAAUUCUGAACGAAUCUAGCUUCCUAAUGAAAUCAUUAAGAUGCUGGACUCAUUGAAUUAAUUUCAUUGUUUUCAGAGAACCUUGACAACUGCAUAGAUUGUUUUUAAAGACAAUAAGCAUCUUUUAUGAUGCAGAUUUAUUAUUUGUGCAAAUGCAUUAAUAACAAUUCUAUUAAGCUGAUGCUUCAAUUUUGAAGUUAUUGGUCAAGCUACAA
This 649-nucleotide unclassified non-coding RNA is filed under the name uncultured Prochlorococcus sp. Its description in RNAcentral is "partial 16S-23S ribosomal RNA intergenic spacer; may also contain 16S ribosomal RNA and 23S ribosomal RNA". The stretch from base 306 to 378 matches the Rfam family "tRNA". Lineage: Bacteria; Bacillati; Cyanobacteriota; Cyanophyceae; Synechococcales; Prochlorococcaceae. The record is from RNAcentral.